This 497-nucleotide ribosomal RNA is filed under the name uncultured bacterium. RNAcentral describes it as "partial 16S ribosomal RNA". It matches the Rfam family "Bacterial small subunit ribosomal RNA", at positions 28 to 507 of the family's 1533-position model. The record is from RNAcentral.
GGUGAACGCUGGCGGCGUGCCUAAUACAUGCAAGUCGAGCGACCAGACAAGGAGCUUGCUCCUCUGCCGUUAGCGGCGGACGGGUGGGUAACACGUGGAUAACCUACCUAUAAGACUGGGAUAACUUCGGGAAACCGGAGCUAAUACCGGAUAAUAUAUUGAACCGCAUGGUUCAGUAGUGAAAGACGGUUUUGCUGUCACUUAUAGAUGGAUCCGCGCCGCAUUAGCUAGUUGGUAAGGUAACGGCUUACCAAGGCGACGAUGCGUAGCCGAUCUGAGAGGGUGAUCGGCCACACUGGAACUGAGACACGGUCCAGACUCCUACGGGAGGCAGCAGUAGGGAAUCUUCCGCAAUGGGCGAAAGCUUGACGGAGCAACGCCGCGUGAGUGAUGAAGGUCUUCGGAUCGUAAAACUCUGUUAUUAGGGAAGAACAAAUGUGUAAGUAACUAUGCACGUCUUGACGGUACCUAAUCAGAAAGCCACGGCUAACUACGUG